UCGAGUUCAAUGCCUUGGACCCCCGAACGGCGUCGUGUCUGGAGUUCCUGGCGCAGUGCAACGCCCGCAAGGCCAAGGAGUCCAACCCCUCCUGCGCCGUCCAAGUCAAGCGCCGCACCGACGACCAGCCCCCCAAGAUCACCGUCACCUUCGUCAAUGGCGUCGAGCAGGUCUACGACGCCACCGCCACUCCCGCCCAGGACAUCCGCAACAUGAUCCUCGAAAAGGGUCAGAGCCUCGAGA
RNAcentral lists this long non-coding RNA (243 nucleotides) under Malus domestica (apple). RNAcentral describes it as "long non-coding RNA (MDOM_LNC002093)". The record is from RNAcentral. Lineage: Eukaryota; Viridiplantae; Streptophyta; Magnoliopsida; Rosales; Rosaceae.